Molecule: non-coding RNA, 2007 nt
Organism: Phoenix dactylifera (date palm)
Lineage: Eukaryota; Viridiplantae; Streptophyta; Magnoliopsida; Arecales; Arecaceae
Source: RefSeq, a predicted model, not a curated record
CACCUAGCCAAAGCUCCUACUCUCAUCCCCGUUUAUCGUUUCAUUUUGUGCCUGUCCUGUGAUCGGGCCACAAAGGAAAAGGUGGUUUGAUCCCGAGGGAGAAUAGAAGAGACGGGCUCAAAGCACCAUUUUUUACCAUGGGGAGCACCUGUACGGCCCGCGGGUUCAAGUAGCACCUUCUCUCUCCUUCUGCUCCCAUAAAUCCUUCUCCCCCUCGCCCAUUCCUCCCAGCAUCAUCGUCGUUCCUUGCCUUUCUUAUUUUCACCUCAUUCUUUUGUCUCCUCCGCACAAAGACAGAAUCCUCCUUUCCGGUAAUCUGAUGUUGUUCUUCGGAUCUAGUUUUAGAUCACCUUCUUAGAUCCGUUGUAGCUCUUCCACUGCCUCAAGCAACAAGGUAGAUAUUGAUGCCCAAAUCCUGCUCGACAAUGAAGGUCUAGAGAGCGCUGAUCAACCUGCAUACAAGGCGAAAGAGGAGCAAAGAAGAUGAGGAGGGCCCUAAUUGGUCUGUUGUGGUGGAAGACGGAGCGUCAAUCUACCGUAGAGAGUCGUUGAUCUGCACACAAAAUAAAAGAUAAAAGCUUAAUAGAUUGGAUAGAUUGGCUACGCUCCGAUGCCUAAGUCAGACAUGGAGAACAAUAUGAGAAAAGAGAGUAUAGUGUAGAGUAACCUAUGUCUCUUGCAUCCUUGGGAUCUUGAGCUCUUUUAUAGAUGAAAAGUCCUUGUCCCAUUCAAAGUUAGAGCUCAAGUGGGAGAUUACCCCUUGACUUUCUGAAUCGGCCCGAAAAUCAAAGUUCCACUAAAAUUGGCCUCCUGCUAGGUCAUGUAUCGGCCCAUGAUAGAUAGGUUAAAUUAGGCCAUAUCAGUAGAUAUUAGUAUUUCCAUCCCCGGUUUCUCCUUUUUUUUUCUCUUGUUUCUCGCUUCCACAGGAAUGAGUGUGCAUGCACACCAGUUCGGUUCUUUGCAAUUUUGUCGAUGCAGAGGUCUGGAAGUGGGUGGUUUGAGACCUUGUUGAAUAGCCAUGUUAAUGUUAGCUCUAAUGGUGAGAUCUUCUCUGUCAAAGAAAGACGGAAUAAUAUUUCUUCUAUCAUGCACACAUUAGAUAAAGUUUACAAUCUGAACUGGUAUAGUAGUGCUUCUAAAAAUGAAUGCACAGCUGCUGUUGGCUUCAAAUGGAUGCUUAAUCAGGCAUAUGAAGGCAUGUGGUGGAUUAUUGAACUAGAGAUGCAUCAGCAUCUUGGUGCAACAGGAAUUUUGCAGCAAACUUGUGACCUGCUGUUUUGAUGGUGUUAGCAGCCAUCCAUUGGAGCUGUUGGACUGAGCGAAAUGCCAGAAUCUUCCUCAAAAAAUCUUGUUCCUUGGCUUUGGUGGCUUGGAAAGGGAUUAAUCUUUUUCAUGCUUGGUCAAUUCUGUGCAGUGAAAAGGCUCUCCCGGGCUUUACCAAACUAGCUGGGACGGUUCGCAGCAUUCACUUUUAUGAUCUGGAGGAUCCUUGAAUUCUUUAUCCUGAUGCUUUUCUUCUCUUGGCUGGGACAAAGUUGCUGCUUCCACUGCUAAUUUCGAUACAUCAUUCAGGCUGCUGUGAGUCAGUUUUUCUCCAUCUGCACAGACAGCUGCUUUUUCUCUUGCUGCCCCUCCAUAGGCUGUGAUGAUCAGAAGGCUUCUUAUGUCUUGGGUUUUUUAUUCCUGUCGCCCUCGAUCAUCUCUCUGCUGAAGACUAUGAUGGAGAAUUUCGCAGCAUUGUGAUCAUCUAUGGUUCCUUUUUCUUGCCGCAUUCUGGUGCACUAAGAUGCUUUUCUUCUGAGUCUCCUUUUGCCUACAACCAUGAAGAAGUGUUUUUUCUUUGGAAUUUCUUAGAAGCAGCAGUUUUUAUUUCCUUUAAGCUUGUAUAUUCCUCUAUUAUCUUCGUCUCUUAUAUGGUGUAACUUAUAUUCUGUGUACAUUCUUCUCCUCCUUUAUUUCUGAAUAAAAUUGGUGACUAAUGAGGAUUAAACCCAUUAGCUUCCAUCA